This 422-nucleotide ribosomal RNA is filed under the name uncultured bacterium. Its description in RNAcentral is "bacterial SSU rRNA". It matches the Rfam family "Bacterial small subunit ribosomal RNA", at positions 355 to 774 of the family's 1533-position model. The record is from RNAcentral.
UGAGGAAUAUUGGACAAUGGAUGGAAAUCUGAUCCAGCCAUGCCGCGUGCAGGAAGACGGCCCUAUGGGUUGUAAACUGCUUUUGUAUGGGAGCAAUAAGGACUACGUGUAGUUUGAUGAGAGUACCAUACGAAUAGGCAUCGGCUAACUCCGUGCCAGCAGCCGCGGUAAUACGGAGGAUGCGAGCGUUAUCCGGAGUUAUUGGGUUUAAAGGGUGCGUAGGCGGCGAUAUAAGUCAGUGGUGAAAUAUUUCGGCUUAACCGAGAGACUGCCAUUGAUACUGUGUUGCUAGAAUAUGGUUGCUGUGAGUGGAAUGUGUGGUGUAGCGGUGAAAUGCUUAGAUAUCACACAGAAUAUCGAUUGCGAAGGCAGCUCACAAAGCCAUUAUUGACGCUGAGGCACGAAAGUGUGGGGAUCAAACA